This 408-nucleotide ribosomal RNA is filed under the name uncultured bacterium. Its description in RNAcentral is "partial 16S ribosomal RNA". It matches the Rfam family "Bacterial small subunit ribosomal RNA", at positions 28 to 526 of the family's 1533-position model. The record is from RNAcentral.
GACGAACGCUGGCGGCGUGCCUAAUACAUGCAAGUCGAGCGAAGAGGCGGAUGGGUGAGUAACGCGUGGGUAACCUGCCCUUAAGUCUGGGAUACCAAUUGGAAAAAGAUGCUAAUACCGGAUACUAAAGGAUGGACCUGCGAUGCAUUAGCUAGUUGGUAAGGUAACGGCUUACCAAGGCGAUGAUGCAUAGCCGAGGUGGUGGACUGUGCGGCCACAUUGGGACUGAGACACGCCCCAAACUCCUACGGUAGGCAGCAGUAGGGAAGCUUCCACAAUGGACGAAAGUCUGAUGGAGCAACGCCGCGUGAGUGAGGAAGGUUUUGGGAUCGUAAAGCUCUGUUGUUGGUGAAGCGGUAAUCAACCAGAAAGUCACGGCUAACUACGUGCCAGCCGCCGCGGUAAUUC